AUUAAGACUCUCGGCAACGGAUAUCUCGGCUCUUACAUCGAUGAAGAACGUAGCGAAAUGCGAUACUUGGUGUGAAUUGCAGAAUCCCGUGAACCAUCGAGUCUUUGAACGCAAGUUGCGCCCGAGGCCUUCGGGUCGAGGGCACGCCUGCCUGGGCGUCACGC
This 164-nucleotide ribosomal RNA is filed under the name Gagea spathacea. RNAcentral describes it as "5.8S ribosomal RNA". It matches the Rfam family "5.8S ribosomal RNA". From Rfam's summary of the family: 5.8S ribosomal RNA (5.8S rRNA) is a component of the large subunit of the eukaryotic ribosome. It is transcribed by RNA polymerase I as part of the 45S precursor that also contains 18S and 28S rRNA. Functionally, it is thought that 5.8S rRNA may be involved in ribosome translocation. The record is from RNAcentral. Lineage: Eukaryota; Viridiplantae; Streptophyta; Magnoliopsida; Liliales; Liliaceae. RNAcentral also lists the same sequence under 19 other names.